Long non-coding RNA from Hippocampus zosterae (dwarf seahorse), 702 nucleotides. RefSeq lists it as uncharacterized. NCBI's taxonomy places the organism in Eukaryota, Metazoa, Chordata, Actinopteri, Syngnathiformes, Syngnathidae. The transcript has 2 exons. The record is from RefSeq and is a predicted model, not a curated record.
GGUCAGUCCUCAUCCUCAAAUCCAUCAAAGUCCUCAUCUUCUGUAUCCCAAAUGAACAGUUGGAUGGACGACAUCAUGAUGCAAAUCGAUGUAAUUUCCACAUUUUACCUUCUACCGUAAACAAAACGCAUUUUCAUGUCACUGACCACACUAAUAAAGCAGUCGGUUUCCUCCUCCCUCCAAAAGUGUGGGUCUGUGCGAUUUCUGAAUUUUUCUGUUAGUGGAUCUCUGCCUGUGUAUUUUCAGUGGUUUACGCAACAGACUCCACACGUACCAGUGCUUUCUGUACUCAAACGAUCAAGAUUCCUUGCAGAUAGAGAAUGAGCAGAACACAAACCAAUAUUCUGUUUAUGAUGGCCACCCAGUCGCCUAUGUGGCCAAAAUUUUGGUUAGAAACGGGAUAACCCAGGGGUCUUAUUUGGGUUUUUGCACGUUGUUGAGUUUAUUAUUGACUGUAUGUAAACUUUAUUAAAAUACUGUGAAUGUGAGCAGAGCAGUGCUCUGACUUUUCAUACAGUUUUUAGGUAAUGUUAAGCUCCUGGGCUCCUAAACCUGGCUCAGCUCAUUAGUCAAUCAGCUAUAUUCCAUCAUUUUGAUUUACUUAGCAAAGAAACCAAUUUAGAUGUCAGCAUCCAAGUGAGAUUUACAUAAAUGUGGUGACAUUUACGAAUGUGUCAUUCUUUUGGAAUAAACAAUGAGAAU